RNAcentral lists this transfer RNA (91 nucleotides) under Aspergillus pseudodeflectus. Its description in RNAcentral is "tRNA-Arg". It matches the Rfam family "tRNA". Rfam says of the family: Transfer RNA (tRNA) molecules are approximately 80 nucleotides in length. Their secondary structure includes four short double-helical elements and three loops (D, anti-codon, and T loops). Further hydrogen bonds mediate the characteristic L-shaped molecular structure. tRNAs have two regions of fundamental functional importance: the anti-codon, which is responsible for specific mRNA codon recognition, and the 3' end, to which the tRNAs corresponding amino acid is attached (by aminoacyl-tRNA synthetases). tRNAs cope with the degeneracy of the genetic code in two manners: having more than one tRNA (with a specific anti-codon) for a particular amino acid; and 'wobble' base-pairing, i.e. permitting non-standard base-pairing at the 3rd anti-codon position. Lineage: Eukaryota; Fungi; Ascomycota; Eurotiomycetes; Eurotiales; Aspergillaceae. The record is from RNAcentral. RNAcentral also lists the same sequence under 1 other name.
GGCCGGGUGGCCUAAUGGUAAGGCGUCAGAUUUCGGCGAGGUAAAUCCUCUCAGUCUCUGAAAACUGCGGGUUCGAGUCCCGUCUCGGUCG